RNAcentral lists this ribosomal RNA (468 nucleotides) under uncultured bacterium. Its description in RNAcentral is "partial 16S ribosomal RNA". It matches the Rfam family "Bacterial small subunit ribosomal RNA", at positions 36 to 507 of the family's 1533-position model. The record is from RNAcentral.
UCCUCCCUCUUUCUUCGUGCUUAACACAUGCAAGUCGAACGGAAAGGCCCUGCUUUUGUGGGGUGCUCGAGUGGCGAACGGGUGAGUAACACGUGAGUAACCUGCCCUUGACUUUGGGAUAACUUCAGGAAACUGGGGCUAAUACCGGAUAGGAGCUCCUGCUGCAUGGUGGGGGUUGGAAAGUUUCGGCGGUUGGGGAUGGACUCGCGGCUUAUCAGCUUGUUGGCGGGGUAGUGGCUUACCAAGGCUUUGACGGGUAGCCGGCCUGAGAGGGUGACCGGCCACAUUGGGACUGAGAUACGGCCCAGACUCCUACGGGAGGCAGCAGUGGGGAAUAUUGCACAAUGGGCGGAAGCCUGAUGCAGCAACGCCGCGUGCGGGAUGACGGCCUUCGGGUUGUAAACCGCUUUCGCCUGUGACGAAGCGUGAGUGACGGUAAUGGGUAAAGAAGCACCGGCUAACUACGUG